This 612-nucleotide ribosomal RNA is filed under the name Triticum aestivum (bread wheat). RNAcentral's name for it is "partial small subunit ribosomal RNA". Lineage: Eukaryota; Viridiplantae; Streptophyta; Magnoliopsida; Poales; Poaceae. The record is from RNAcentral.
AUGGAGCUGCGGUCGGGCCACCGCCUCAAUCCUCCGUCGUUGUCCGUGCCGCGCCGGCGCCGUCCCUUCCGCUCAGAAGGCGGCGGAACGGACCGGAUCAGCGCUCUUCCCGACGACCUGCUCCUCCAGUUUUAUGCACUAGAUGCGGCGAGGAACUUCAGUCAAGAGAUAGCAUCACUUCCCAAAUUUUUUGUUCUGCAUCUAAGUCUGGUAACACGGGGGCAUAUUUUUGGGCCACUGGUGUUGAAUCUACUUGGGAUCUGCACUGUAAUACAAAAGCUUGAGGUGGUCAUAGACAAAGUCACGUGCAGACAAGUAUGCCCAUCAAAUUGUCCUUGUGAGCAACCACAAAACUGGAGAAGUCAAAUUAUCUCCUUGGCAGCUCUUGAAGAAGUAGAAAUAGAAUGUUUCGAAGGAACUGGCAAUGAAAUUGAUUUCUUGAAACUUCUGUUCAGAUCCACGCCUCUGAUGAAAACAAUGACCAUGACAUUGUCCCCUGAGGUUUUACCAACCAGCAGAGGAUGCAAGAAAACCUACAGGAUUUUUAGGGAAAACCCAUCUGUGAAAUGCCGUGUUUAUCGCAGCGGUGGGGAGGAGGUUCUGUACCCUUGA